RNAcentral lists this unclassified non-coding RNA (464 nucleotides) under Arthroderma terrestre. RNAcentral's name for it is "sequence contains ITS1, 5.8S rRNA gene and ITS2". The stretch from base 173 to 326 matches the Rfam family "5.8S ribosomal RNA". The record is from RNAcentral. Lineage: Eukaryota; Fungi; Ascomycota; Eurotiomycetes; Onygenales; Arthrodermataceae.
GUUGCCCAUUCUUGCCUACUGACCUAGUUGCCUCGGCGAGCCCUGCCACUCGUGGCAGGCUGGAAGCCGCUUAAACCCCUGGGGCUUAGGCGGCCCUGGCCAGUGCCCGCCGACGGACAGACCUAAAAUCUUUAUAUAUUGGCCGUCUGAGCGUAUAAAGCAAAUCAAUUAAAACUUUCAACAACGGAUCUCUUGGUUCCGGCAUCGAUGAAGAACGCAGCGAAAUGCGAUAAGUAAUGUGAAUUGCAGAAUUCCGUGAAUCAUCGAAUCUUUGAACGCACAUUGCGCCCCCUGGUAUUCCGGGGGGCAUGCCUGUUCGAGCGUCAUUGCAACCCUCAAGCUCGGCUUGUGUGAUGGGCGACCGUCCUUCCCCUAGGGGCGGGACGCGUCCGAAAAGCAGUGGCUAGGCCGCGAUUCCGGCGCCUGAGCGAAUGGGACUUCCACCGCUUCUAGGACCGGCCGGC